CCCCUAGAUGUUCUGGGCCGCACGCGCGCUACACUGAAUAGUUCAACAAGUCUUAACCUUGGCCGAUAGGUCUGGGUAAUCUUUGAACGCUGGUCGUGAUGGGGAUAGACUUUUGCAAUUUUUGGUCUUCAACGAGGAAUUCCUAGUAAACGCAAGUCAUCAACUUGCAUUGAUUACGUCCCUGCCCUUUGUACACACCGCCCGUCGCACCUACCGAUUGAAUGGUCCGGUGAAGCCUCCGGAUUGGCGCGCACCUCGGUGCCGCCGAGAAGUUGGCUAAACCUUACCAUUUAGAGGAAGGUGAAGUCGUAACA
RNAcentral lists this ribosomal RNA (314 nucleotides) under uncultured eukaryote. RNAcentral describes it as "partial 18S ribosomal RNA". It matches the Rfam family "Eukaryotic small subunit ribosomal RNA", at positions 1470 to 1796 of the family's 1831-position model. The record is from RNAcentral.